RNAcentral lists this ribosomal RNA (459 nucleotides) under uncultured bacterium. Its description in RNAcentral is "partial 16S ribosomal RNA". It matches the Rfam family "Bacterial small subunit ribosomal RNA", at positions 338 to 795 of the family's 1533-position model. The record is from RNAcentral.
CCUACGGGAGGCAGCAGUGAGGAAUAUUGGUCAAUGGGCGGGAGCCUGAACCAGCCAAGCCGCGUGAGGGAAGAAGGUACAGCGUAUCGUAAACCUCUUUUGUCAGGGAACAAAGGCGGGGACUAGUCCCCGGAUGAGGGUACCUGAAGAAAAAGCAUCGGCUAACUCCGUGCCAGCAGCCGCGGUAAUACGGAGGAUGCGCGCGUUAUCCGGAUUUAUGGGGGUAAAGGGGUGCGCAGGCGGCCUGUUAAGUCAGCGGUAAAAGCCCGGGGCUCAACCCCGGCGAGCCGUUGAAACUGGCGGGCUGGAGUGGGAGAGAAGUACGCGGAAUGCGCGGUGUAGCGGUGAAAUGCUUAGAUAUCGCGCAGAACCCCGAUUGCGAAGGCAGCGUACCGGCUCCACACUGACGCUGAGGCACGAAAGCGUGGGUAUCGAACAGGAUUAGAUACCCUAGUAGUC